Molecule: long non-coding RNA, 218 nt
Filed under: Elaeis guineensis (African oil palm)
Lineage: Eukaryota; Viridiplantae; Streptophyta; Magnoliopsida; Arecales; Arecaceae
Description: long non-coding RNA (EGUI_LNC024656)
Source: RNAcentral
AUUCAGACAGGGAUGACACAAUUUUGAUGUGAAUGCACCCCAUCAAAUCAAAGUACAAAACAUCCUACAGGACCUACCUGAGGGCACCGCUGGCCAUAUCGCCAAGUCCAAUCUCCAAUGUGCUCAGUAACAAAAGAAGCGAUCUAAUUUGCCAUACUAUUCGCCUCUCAAAAAACCUGAUGGAUCGAUACUUUGGUAAAUUCAUGAAGAAAAAUUCA